CACGACGAAUGGAUGGGUUUGAGUGGGUUUUGCUAACGUUUUUCUAGAGUCGAGAGAUAGGGAUCCCAUUUCGGAUUCAUAGAUGCAUCAUCAGAGGCAAAUUAUUCAUUAUUUUUCAAAUUACAUUUUGUAAAGUUUCUUUUUUGACUCAGUAUAUUAUUUUUUAGAUGAGUU
Haliotis rubra (blacklip abalone) is the source of this 174-nucleotide long non-coding RNA. RefSeq lists it as uncharacterized. The transcript has 3 exons. Lineage: Eukaryota; Metazoa; Mollusca; Gastropoda; Lepetellida; Haliotidae. The record is from RefSeq and is a predicted model, not a curated record.